ACGAUAGCUAAGACCCAAACUGGGAUUAGAUACCCCACUAUGCUUAGCCCUAAACCUAGAUAGUUAACCCAAACAAAACUAUCCGCCAGAGAACUACUAGCAACAGCUUAAAACUCAAAGGACUUGGCGGUGCUUUAUAUCCCUCUAGAGGAGCCUGUUCCAUAAUCGAUAAACCCCGAUAAACCUCACCAUCUCUUGCUAAUUCAGCCUAUAUACCGCCAUCUUCAGCAAACCCUGAAAAGGAAGAAAAGUAAGCACAAGUAUCUUAACAUAAAAAAGUUAGGUCAAGGUGUAGCCCAUGAGAUGGGGAAGUAAUGGGCUACAUUUUCUACAACUAGAACAUCCACGAAAAUCCUUAUGAAAUUAAGUAUUAAAGGAGGAUUUAGUAGUAAAUUCGAGAAUAGAGAGCUCGAUUGAAUCGGGCCAUGAAGCACGCACACACCGCCCGUCACCCUCCUCAAGUGAUUAGACCCCAAAGAAACCUAUUCAAACCACUA
RNAcentral lists this ribosomal RNA (497 nucleotides) under Panthera tigris (tiger). RNAcentral's name for it is "partial 12S ribosomal RNA". It matches the Rfam family "Bacterial small subunit ribosomal RNA", at positions 753 to 1444 of the family's 1533-position model. The record is from RNAcentral. Lineage: Eukaryota; Metazoa; Chordata; Mammalia; Carnivora; Felidae.